UACGAAGGGGGCGAGCGUUGUUCGGAAUUACUGGGCGUAAAGGGCGCGCAGGCGGCCUUAGAAGUCAGAUGUGAAAGCCCCGGGCUCAACCUGGGAAUGGCAUUUGAUACUCUGAGGCUGGAGUACGGGAGAGGAGAGUGGAAUUCCCAGUGUAGAGGUGAAAUGCGCAGAUAUCAGGAGGAACACCGGUGGCGAAGGCGGGUCUCUGGGCCGAUAUUGACGCUGAGGAGCGAAAGCGUGGGGAGCGAACAGG
RNAcentral lists this ribosomal RNA (253 nucleotides) under uncultured bacterium. RNAcentral's name for it is "partial 16S ribosomal RNA". It matches the Rfam family "Bacterial small subunit ribosomal RNA", at positions 524 to 776 of the family's 1533-position model. The record is from RNAcentral.